GCCGGGGUAGCCAAGUCCGGAUACACAUAUCUGUGGUCCAUGGCGCGGGCCUUGAGAGCCCGUGGCCCUUUGUGGCCACGUGGGUUCAAAUCCCACCCCCGGCGCCA
RNAcentral lists this transfer RNA (107 nucleotides) under Candidatus Bathyarchaeota archaeon ex4484_205. RNAcentral describes it as "tRNA-Ser". It matches the Rfam family "tRNA". From Rfam's summary of the family: Transfer RNA (tRNA) molecules are approximately 80 nucleotides in length. Their secondary structure includes four short double-helical elements and three loops (D, anti-codon, and T loops). Further hydrogen bonds mediate the characteristic L-shaped molecular structure. tRNAs have two regions of fundamental functional importance: the anti-codon, which is responsible for specific mRNA codon recognition, and the 3' end, to which the tRNAs corresponding amino acid is attached (by aminoacyl-tRNA synthetases). tRNAs cope with the degeneracy of the genetic code in two manners: having more than one tRNA (with a specific anti-codon) for a particular amino acid; and 'wobble' base-pairing, i.e. permitting non-standard base-pairing at the 3rd anti-codon position. The record is from RNAcentral. Lineage: Archaea; Thermoproteati; Candidatus Bathyarchaeota. RNAcentral also lists the same sequence under 1 other name.